Molecule: long non-coding RNA, 2139 nt
Filed under: Zostera marina
Lineage: Eukaryota; Viridiplantae; Streptophyta; Magnoliopsida; Alismatales; Zosteraceae
Description: long non-coding RNA (ZMAR_LNC004435)
Source: RNAcentral
AGAUGAACAUAAUGUAAACCAUACCUUGAAGAUAAUUUCGACAAUGACCGGAGAGAAGUGGCCGGCCGGAUUAGAAGAAGGCUUCAACCUAAAAUAAAUUUAACAUAGAAAUUAAAUUUCACUAAAUUAACACUACAUAAACACCAAUAAAUACUACAAACAGUACAUAUAUCAUAUUAAAAUGAAACAGAAUUCCAAAAUUUAACUAUAUAUCAUUUUGGCAGGCAGAUCAUGUGCUAUGCAUAACUGCUGCUACUUUCGAAAUUCCAAAAUUGGAUCGUAUUAUUGAAGACCAUAGUGUAGUGUAUAGAACAAUAAGAAUGGUAAAUACAAGUUAUAUAGAAGCAUCAAAGAAAAAUCACGUUAAUUUAACCAAAUAUGCACAACUUGAUUUCAUUUUUCCAUACCUCACAUAUCAAAAAAACAUUUACAAACAUCAUUUUAAAUCCCAAUCAACCAAAAAUCCUAUUCAAAGCAAAAAUAAAUUCCAAUUCAAAGCAAAAAAACUUCAUUUUGUUGCUCUUACCUAUUCAAAGCAAAUCCUACAUUUUGUCCCACAUCGAUUUGCAUGAAUACGAAAAUUAAAAUCAACUUCAUUUUCAUUUUUACAUCAAAACAAUGUACCACACUUGAUUUUACAUGCUGUCAUAACAUUAAUAUUAUAAUGGAAUUGAUUUGCUAAACAAAAAAACUACAUCCUGAUUGCAACCAUUACAUACAUAAAAACAUGCACAAAUAUCACGUCAAUUCCAUCAAAACAUGCACAACUUUAAAAGGAAUUUCAAUACCUAAUUCUGUCUACAAAUUAAAAAUGAAUUUCAAUCACAUAUCGAAAUAUAUCCCACCUCUGUUCCACAUACUAAUUUCAAGCACAUAUCAAAACAUCAUUUUAAAUCCUAAUCAACCAUAAAUCAUAAUCAAAGAAAAACUAAAAUCUACAUUCAGUGAUUAAAAUCCUAAUGAAAUAAAACCAAAAAUCCUAAUCAAACUAAAACCAAAAAUCUCUCUUUCAUCAUCAUCAAAAAAAAAUACUCUGUCUACAUUCAUCAUCAUCAAAACUACAUUCAUUUAAGUCGGAUUCUAGCCAUUACAUAGAUUGCAAAAAAAAAAAUCACAAUUAAAAUCAAAACAGUACAUAUAUUACAAAUAAAGUCAAUUAACUAAAUCAAAUAUAAUUAACUAACUAACUAAAUCAAAUAUAAUCAAAACAGUACAUAAGUCAAUUAAUUAACUAACUAUAAUUAACUAAAAUAAACAAAACUAAAUCAAAGCACCAAUAUCAAAACCCCUAAAUAAAACCCCCAAUAUCAAAACCCUUAAAAAGAGUAAAUCACAAUUACUAACCCCACAUCACAAAUUCCCAUCACAAAUUCACAAUGCAUGAUUUUUUUUUUAAAAUCAAAAGACAAAUCAUUGGAAAGUAUGAUUUAAAAUCAUAAACCCCCAAAUCACAAAUCAAAAGACAAAAUUAAUAUAAUUUAUAAAAACAGUAAAACCCUAAUCUAAAUUAACUAAAAUCAGUAAAUGAUAAAAAUAAACUAAAAACAGUAAAUAAACCCCCCUAAAUAACAUCAGUAAAUAAACUAAAUAAAAACCAACAAAUAAUAAACCUAACAUCAAUAAAUCAAACCUAAAUCAAACCCUAAAAUCUAACUACAAUAAAUCAACCUAACAUCUAACCAUAAAAUCAAACCCCAAAUACAUAUAUAAGCCCCCAAAUAAUAAAUACAUAAACCCUAAAUGUCAUAAACCCACAAAUACAUGAACCCCAAUGUCAUACAACCAUAACCCCCUAAUUUAAUCAAAUAACAUACAUCAAAUGAAGAACAAAAUAGAAAAUGUAGAAGAAUAGAAAAAGAUAAUAUAAAAUAUAAUAAGAUAAGGAGAAGAUGAAGAAGUAGAACAUGAAGAUGAAGAUCAAGAAGGGGAGAUUAUUACCUUGGGGAGGAAUGGCCGGAGUGCUCAAUCAAACGCCCUUGGGGAGAACUUUCGAAACCUUGGGAGAGUUUGGGAGAGUUUGGAGAGUUUGGAAAAGUGAGGAAACCGUUGGGAGAAAUGAGAAAAGUCUGGAAAUUUUUUUCUUAUAUAAAAAUUUCCCGGCGGCCUGGCCGCCGGGAAAUACUUAAGUUUCGUUUGACU